UUGGAGGGGUUGGUUUU
RNAcentral lists this microRNA (17 nucleotides) under Corchorus olitorius. RNAcentral's name for it is "hsa-miR-44". The record is from RNAcentral. Lineage: Eukaryota; Viridiplantae; Streptophyta; Magnoliopsida; Malvales; Malvaceae.